This 647-nucleotide ribosomal RNA is filed under the name uncultured Actinomycetes bacterium. RNAcentral describes it as "bacterial SSU rRNA". It matches the Rfam family "Bacterial small subunit ribosomal RNA", at positions 231 to 886 of the family's 1533-position model. Lineage: Bacteria; Bacillati; Actinomycetota; Actinomycetes. The record is from RNAcentral.
UCGCGGGCUAUCAGCUUGUUGGUGGGGUAAUGGCCUACCAAGGCGCCGACGGGUAGCCGGCCUGAGAGGGUGGACGGCCACAUUGGGACUGAGAUACGGCCCAGACACCUACGGGAGGCAGCAGUGGGGAAUAUUGCACAAUGGGCGCAAGCCUGAUGCAGCGACGCCGCGUGGGGGAUGACGGCCUUCGGGUUGUAAACUCCUUUCGCUAGGGACGAAGCUUUUUGUGACGGUGCCUAGAUAAGAAGCACCGGCUAACUACGUGCCAGCAGCCGCGGUAAUACGUAGGGUGCGAGCGUUGUCCGGAAUUACUGGGCGUAAAGGGCUCGUAGGUGGUUUGUCGCGUCGUCUGUGAAAUUCCGGGGCUUAACUCCGGGCGUGCAGGCGAUACGGGCAUAACUUGAGUACUGUAGGGGUAACUGGAAUUCCUGGUGUAGCGGUGAAAUGCGCAGAUAUCAGGAGGAACACCGAUGGCGAAGGCAGGUUACUGGGCAGUUACUGACGCUGAGGAGCGAAAGCAUGGGUAACGAACAGGAUUAGAUACCCUGGUAGUCCAUGCCGUAAACGGUGGGCGCUAGGUGUGAGGGUCUUUUCACGACUUUCGUGCCGUAGCUAACGCAUUAAGCGCCCCGCCUGGGGAGUACGGA